Molecule: small nuclear RNA, 161 nt
Organism: Puma concolor (puma)
Lineage: Eukaryota; Metazoa; Chordata; Mammalia; Carnivora; Felidae
Product: U1 spliceosomal RNA
Source: RefSeq, a predicted model, not a curated record
AUACUACCUGGUAGGGAGAUACCAGAUCAAAGAAGGUGGUUUCUCCCAGGGCUUAGGCUUAUCCAUUGCACUGGGAUGUACUGACCCUGCGAUUUCCCCAAAUGUGGGAAACUGACCGCGCAAUUUGUGGUAGUGGGGGACUGCGUUCGCGCUUUCCCCUA